CCUACGGGAGUCAGCAGUGAGGAAUAUUGGUCAAUGGGCGGGAGCCUGAACCAGCCAAGUCGCGUGAGGGAAGACGGUCCUCUGGAUUGUAAACCUCUUUAGGCGGGGAGCAAUGCCUGGCACGCGUGCCCGGAGGGAGAGUACCCGCAGAAUAAGCAUCGGCUAACUCCGUGACAGCAGCCGCGGUCAUACGGAGGAUGCUAGCGUUAGCCGUAUUUAUUAGGUUUAAAGGGUGCGUAGGCGGAUUUUUAAGUCAGCGGUAAAAUGUCCGGGCUCAACCCGUGCCGGCCGUUGAAACUGGGGAUGUUGAGUGGGCGAGAAGUAUGCGGAAUGCGUGGUGUAGCGGUGAAAUGCAUAGAUAUCACGCAGAACUCCGAUUGCGAAGGCAGCAUACCGGCGCCCGACUGACGCUGAGGCACGAAAGCGUGGGGAUCGAACAGGAUUAGAUACCCCUGUAGUC
Molecule: ribosomal RNA, 460 nt
Filed under: uncultured bacterium
Lineage: Bacteria
Description: partial 16S ribosomal RNA
Rfam family: Bacterial small subunit ribosomal RNA
Source: RNAcentral